GACGAACGCUGGCGGCGUGCUUAACACAUGCAAGUCGAGCGAUGAAGCACCUUCGGGUGUGAAUUAGCGGCGAACGGGUGAGGAACACGUGAGAAAUCUGCCUUCAACACUGGGAUAACUCCGGGAAACCGGGGCUAAUACCGGAUAUGAAACCUGCGGGCAUCCGCGGGUUUGGAAAGUUUUUCGGUUAAAGAUGAUCUCGCGGCCUAUCAGCUUGUUGGUGAGGUAAUGGCUCACCAAGGCGACGACGGGUAGCCGGCCUGAGAGGGCGACCGGCCACACUGGGACUGAGACACGGCCCAGACUCCUACGGGAGGCAGCAGUGGGGAAUAUUGGGCAAUGGAGGAAACUCUGACCCAGCGACGCCGCGUGCGGGAUGAAGGCCUCGGUUGUAACGCUUCAGCAGGGAAGAAGACGAAAGUAGACGGUACCUCGCAGAAGAAAGCACCGGCGUAACUAUGUG
Molecule: ribosomal RNA, 463 nt
Filed under: uncultured bacterium
Lineage: Bacteria
Description: bacterial SSU rRNA
Rfam family: Bacterial small subunit ribosomal RNA
Source: RNAcentral